Molecule: ribosomal RNA, 427 nt
Filed under: Oehlia diaphana
Lineage: Eukaryota; Fungi; Glomeromycota; Glomeromycetes; Glomerales; Glomeraceae
Description: eukaryotic LSU rRNA
Rfam family: Eukaryotic large subunit ribosomal RNA
Source: RNAcentral
GACCUCAAAUCAGGUAAGGAUACCCGCUGAACUUAAGCAUAUCAAUAAGCGGAGGAAAAGAAAAUAACAAUGAUUCCUCUAGUAACUGCGAGUGAAGAGGGAAAAGCUCAAAUUUUAAAUCUGUUAGGUUUACCUAACCGAGUUGUAAUUUGAAGAAGCGUUUUCUGCGAUUUUGGUUAGUCCAAAUCCUUUGGAAUAAGGUAUCAUGGAGGGUGAGAAUCCCGUUCGGUUAACCAAAGCGCUUUACGAUACGCUUUCAAAGAGUCAAGUCGUUUGGGAUUGCAGCUUAAAAUGGGAGGUAAAUUUCUCCUAAGGCUAAAUAUUGGCGAGAGACCGAUAGCGAACAAGUCCGUGAGGGAAAGAUGAAAAGAACUUUGAAAAGAGAGUUAAACAGUACGUGAAAUUGUUGAAAGGGAAACGAUUGAAG